GAGUUUGAUCCUGGCUCAGGACGAACGCUGGCGGCGUGCUUAACACAUGCAAGUCGAACGAAAAGAGGGAAAGAGCUUGCUCUUUCCGGAAUUGAGUGGCAAACGGGUGAGUAACACGUAAACAACCUGCCUUCAGGAUGGGGACAACAGACGGAAACGACUGCUAAUACCGAAUAAGUUCCAAGAGCCGCAUGGCCCAUGGAAGAAAAGGUGGCCUCUACCUGUAAGCUAUCGCCUGAAGAGGGGUUUGCGUCUGAUUAGCUAGUUGGAGGGGUAACGGCCCACCAAGGCGACGAUCAGUAGCCGGUCUGAGAGGAUGAACGGCCACACUGGAACUGAGACACGGUCCAGACUCCUACGGGAGGCAGCAGUGGGGAAUCUUCCGCAAUGGGCGAAAGCCUGACGGAGCAACGCCGCGUGAAGGAAGAAGGUCUUCGGAUUGUAAACUUCUUUUGUCAGGGACGAAGAAAGUGACGGUACCUGACGAAUAAGCUCCGGCUAACUACGUGCCAGCCGCCGCGGUAAUUC
Molecule: ribosomal RNA, 528 nt
Filed under: uncultured bacterium
Lineage: Bacteria
Description: bacterial SSU rRNA
Rfam family: Bacterial small subunit ribosomal RNA
Source: RNAcentral